This 376-nucleotide ribosomal RNA is filed under the name uncultured bacterium. RNAcentral describes it as "bacterial SSU rRNA". It matches the Rfam family "Bacterial small subunit ribosomal RNA", at positions 524 to 898 of the family's 1533-position model. The record is from RNAcentral.
UACGUAGGGGGCUAGCGUUGUCCGGAAUUACUGGGUGUAAAGGGCGUGUAGGCGGGAUAUUAAGUCAGAUGUGAAAUACCGAAGCUCAACUUCGGGGCUGCAUCUGAAACUAAUAUUCUUGAGUGCAGGAGAGGAAAGCGGAAUUCCAAGUGUAGCGGUGAAAUGCGUAGAUAUUUGGAGGAACACCAGUGGCGAAGGCGGCUUUCUGGACUGUAACUGACGCUGAGGCGCGAAAGCGUGGGGAGCAAACAGGAUUAGAUACCCUGGUAGUCCACGCCGUAAACGAUGGAUACUAGGUGUAGGAGGUAUCGACCCCUUCUGUGCCGGAGUUAACACAAUAAGUAUCCCACCUGGGGAGUACGGCCGCAAGGUUGAA